GACGAACGCUGGCGGCGUGCUUAACACAUGCAAGUCGAACGGAAAGGCCCUGCUUUUGUGGGGUGCUCGAGUGGCGAACGGGUGAGUAACACGUGAGUAACCUGCCCUUGACUUUGGGAUAACUUCAGGAAACUGGGGCUAAUACCGGAUAGGAGCUCCUGCUGCAUGGUGGGGGUUGGAAAGUUUCGGCGGUUGGGGAUGGACUCGCGGCUUAUCAGCUUGUUGGUGGGGUAGUGGCUUACCAAGGCUUUGACGGGUAGCCGGCCUGAGAGGGUGACCGGCCACAUUGGGACUGAGAUCCGGCCCAGCCUCCUACGGGAGGCAGCAGUGGGAAUAUUGCACAAUGGGCGGAAGCCUGAUGCAGCAACGCCGCGUGCGGGAUGACGGCCUUCGGGUUGUAAACCGCUUUCGCCUGUGACGAAGCGUGAGUGACGGUAAUGGGUAAAGAAGCACCGGCUAACUACGU
RNAcentral lists this ribosomal RNA (466 nucleotides) under uncultured bacterium. RNAcentral describes it as "partial 16S ribosomal RNA". It matches the Rfam family "Bacterial small subunit ribosomal RNA", at positions 28 to 506 of the family's 1533-position model. The record is from RNAcentral.